Molecule: ribosomal RNA, 26072 nt
Filed under: Chrysoporthe austroafricana
Lineage: Eukaryota; Fungi; Ascomycota; Sordariomycetes; Diaporthales; Cryphonectriaceae
Source: RNAcentral
AAGAAUCUUAUAUAUAAUAAGGUAAGAAAUGAAAAGGAUAUAAUUAUUUUUAUUAGUAUGAAAAGAGAUUAUUAUGGAGAUAUAAAGCCAUGUAUUAAAGAGUAGCUUAUGAUUUUAUGUAAAUACAUAUAAACUCUAAGAUAAAUUACUUGAUAAACGAAGCGAAUUGAAAUAUCCUAGUAGCUUCAGGAAAAGAAAUCAAAAGAGAUUUUAUGAGUAGUGUGAACGAAAAUAAAAUAGCCGAUAAACAAUUAGAAUGGUCUAAAAACUGUUUGAACUUGGGGAACCUACCUCAAAGGCUAAAUAUAAUACAUGAGCAUCAGAGAAUAAGUACCGUAAGGGAAUUAUUGAAAUAGUAGUUUUAUAAGCAGCUCGAAUUGUUUUUCUAAAACGAGAGCGUACCUUUUGCAUAAUGGGUCACCAAGUUAACAUUAGAUGCGAGCGAAAAACUGUGAGUAGUACCUCGUCAAACUGAGCUCCAUGGCUGGUGUCAAUCUCCCGGCGAGGCGGGAAGAUUAGAUAGUCCACUUGUCUGCUUCUGCCCACUAUUUGGUGAGCUAACGAGGGGUGUAUUCCUACGGGAAGUGUGAGGUGGGCACUAAGGUUAUUAAGUCCUACGAUAUAUUGAAGAAUAAUACCUUUUUUAUCCAAGGAUGGUUAAAGUAAUCUAGGGGUCUACUAAGGUGGAUCCCAAUGAAAGCGGUUCGCGCGUAGUUAAAACGAUGAUAAUGUAAGAGAAAAUAAUAAGUGUCUAAAGUUAGACCCGAAGCCUAGUGAUCUUACUAUAGUCAGGGCUAUAAAGGCUCGAACGGGUUAAAACAAGGAUUAGCUCUUGUAAAUAGCCCAAGUGUAAGUGAACCUUAUGCUAUAGACUUUUCAAAUUGCGGGAAGGCCUUAAAGUAAUCUUAACUAACCAAGUAUAGUAAUAUAACUUGGGGCGCAGGUAAUGACUCGCGGCAUAGUAAAAUCAAGAUUGAUGUACGUAAGUAUAAUGGGAAAUCCGCAUCCAAGCUUCAUUAUUAUAGUAAUGAAGAAGGUUCAUCGACUAUAAGGAGGUCGGCAUUCUUUUUUCGUGUUCAUUUAAGGUAUAUUUAGGCGCAAGCUCUUAUAUUUUUGCAUGAUAUCUGGAAAAGAUUGCUUAAGAUAUAGUCAAGCCUCAAUGGAAACAUUGCAGGAUAAUAUUAUUUUAUGUUUUAUAUAUAUAUACAAUUUUUAAUUUAACACAGGUAGCUAUUUCAUGGCGCGUGUCUUGGUUGUAGUACACUAAUCUCGCAUACAUUUAAGGUAUAUUUUUAAGUAAAGAUAGCUUUACUUGAAUGUGAGAGAAAGAUGCAUGAUAAUCUAAUUAUUAGUAUGAAGUGUUAAUUAGAUUUAAAAAUUUACACUUCUACCAUCACACAUAUAAUAAGAAGGGGAACAUUCUGUAGGUCCUAAUCUUCGAAAGGUAAAACGACUCAGUCGGGCUGACACCCCUGCUGCUGUUGGGGGCAGACCUUUCUUAUUAAUUGUGGUGGAUCUCCGCGAGUAGUGGUUUACCAUUACCUAGGUAUAUGAAGAAGAACCAAACUAAGAAAAUUUACUGCGUCACAAGGCAAUAAAGUGAUUUGUAUAGCGAAACGCAACUGAUUAUAAAGGUUACAUCAAUUGUUGGUUAUACGAAUAUUAUUGUAAGCGAGCUGAAAUGCUUCCCUCUGGAGAUAAAAGGCCUUCAGACAAACUCUUUAACCUAGAGAAACGGUUUAGUUGAAUAACCAAGAGCUAAAACGGGUGACAAAGUUUAUCGUAGUAGUGUACAUAUUUAGAGUUACACCUAGAACAAUCGUCAGAUUAUUACUCGUUUAUUAAUAUAAAAAGAAGUCUUCCAAAAUUUCAACUUUAAUCUAAAAUUUUAUUCAGAGUUUGUGCCGAGAGCUUGCGCCUUAAAAAGAAUGUCUUUUAUGGCUUCUAGCUUGCGCACGCAAUUCUGUCGUUUUUAUGUUGCUGAUUCUUCAGGUGCUAGUUCUAAAAAUAAUAGCAAGGAUAUUAUACCAGUGGUUAUAUACCCUGAUGCUGAUUUAGAUAAAUCUCGAAUUUUAGCUGAGAAUUUAAAUACAAUCUGUGUCUACCGUUGAGUGAAUAAAAUAAAUGGAGAUAUUUAUGUGGGUAGUUCUACUAACCUUAGAAUAAGGUUGUAUACUUAUUAUAGUCUGGGUUCUUUGAGUCAAAGUUCAAGAAUUAUAGAUAGAGCUCUUUUAAAAUACGGUUAUUCUAAUUUUUCAUUUGAAAUAUUGGAAUACUGCACAAAAGAAAAUGUAAUUGAACGUGAGCAAUAUUAUAUUGAUUUUUUCAAACCUGUAUAUAAUAUUGUUGAAAAAGCAGGCUCUACUUUAGGUUACAAACAUACAGAUCUUAGUAAAGCAAAAAUGAGAAAUUUUCAACUUUCCGAGGAAGUUCGUAAAGUUAAGCUUCAGUCAGUAGCCAAGGCUGGUGAGGCUAAUAGAGUGAAAGUUGUAGUUGUUAAUAUAAAAACUUUAGAAAAGAAAGAAUAUCUUUCUAUGACUGAAGCUGGAGAAGCUUUAGGUGUCCAUCGAAACAACAUAGGUAACGCAAUGAAAAAUAAAAGAGUUAUACAAAAAAAUUUCAUUGUUUGUGCCACUAGUGAAAAGGAGGUAAUUGCCGAGGAAAUUCGUCUAGCUAAUCUUAGUCAAGAAGAAAAGAAGGCUGGUGCUUCUAGUAGAGUAAAAGUUGUAGUCGAAAAUAUAAACACACUAGAGAAAAAAGAAUAUCUUUCUAUGACUGAAGCAAGUAAAGCGUUAGGUGUUCAUAAGACCACUAUAGUGAAAGCAAUAAAGAACAAAAGUAUUGUUAAUAAAAGUUUCAUUUGUCAUCUAUACUCUAUAACUUAAUUUAUUUGGGGCGCAAGCUCGUCUUACCUUUUUAGUGGGGUGUAAGCUCCGUGAGAUUAGGUUUAGGCUAAUAAAACAAUCUGUUCGCUGUAACUUGCGUUUUCAUAUAUAAACAUAAAAAAAAAUAUUAUCCGUUAAAUGGAUAGUUUAAACUAAAAUAGUUAAACUGUUUAGGGAGAAAUACCUUAGCUAUACCUUUUAAUUCUUAGCCAUAUAGCGAUGAAUUAGUAAGGUUAAAGAGGUAUUCUGUAUUGUUGCAAAAAUAUCCGAUGAACUGUGGUAAGCUUAGUGAAAGACAAUUCUGACUAGGAUAGCUGGUAAAGAAAAGAUGUAAGCAGUCUUUAAAUGGCCAGUGUGUAGAAAUGAACUUUCUGCAAUAAAUCAUCAAAUUGACGGGGAAGCCCUAAAGCAAUCUAAACCAAGCAGAUGUGGUAACAUGUUUGUGGCACAGGUAAUGACUCGUGGUAUGGUAAAAUAUAGAUUGAUUAACGUAAGUUAAUGGGUAAUCCGCAGCCAAGCACCUUUAUAAACCGAGAGCGUAUGGUAUAAGGGAUAAUCCGAAGAAUUACCUCUAUAUAAUUAAAGGUGUGCAGUUCAUCGACUAAAUGUUGGUUGGCUAUAAAAAUUAUAGCUUAAGAUAUAGUCAAACCUUAUCUGAAAGGAUACAAAAUAAUAAAUACUACAAAUUUAGAUUAAGAGGAAGUCGGGCGCGCUAACGCAAAAAAAUAUAAAAAAUGAAAAUAAUAAAACAAUUAAAUAUAACACCCACAAUUAUUUAUAAUGAUUGUGAUUUAGAUAAAGUAAAAAUACUAAAUGAUAGUAGAAAUAAAGCAGGUAUUUAUUGUUGAAUCAAUAAUAUUAACGAUAAAUUUUAUGUAGGUAGUUCUGUGAAUCUUACCGAAAGAUUUUAUAAAUAUUGUAGUCUUAAGCAUUUAACUAUGCGUAAAACACCUAUUCACAAUGCUAUCUUAAAGUAUGGAUACAGUAAUUUUUCUUUAGCUAUAUUGGAAUUUGUUGCAGACAAAGGUGAAAUUAUAAAUAAAGAACAAUAUUAUUUAGAUUUAUUAGAUCCUGAUUAUAAUGUGCUGGUAAUAGCUGGUUCAGCCUUAGGGUAUAAACAUACAGAAGAAACCUUAAAGGUUUUUAAAGAACGUGUACUUAGUGAGGAAGCUAGAAACAACUUAUCUAUUGCAGCUACUGUAAGAAUUUUAACUGAAGAAGUUAGAGAGAAAAUCUCUGAAAAACGUAAAGGUAUAAAACUUUCAGAAGAAACACGUGCAAAGAUUUCUAAGUCAGCUAGCGACCUUAUAGGUGUAAAAGUCGAUGUUUUUAAUAUCGAAACAAAUGAAAAACUAUCCUUUGAUAGUUUCACUAGCGCAGCUAAGUACAUUAAUGUAAGUAGAACAGCUGUGACUAGAGUUUUAAAAAACGGUAAAUUAAUACAAAAGAUUUACAUGAUUAAAGCUAAGUAGUAUUUAUUAUUUGUUAAAUGGAUAAUAAAGUAUAUAUAGGUAUACUUAUUAUUUAGGGAGAAGGACUUCAGCUUUACCUUAUGGGUAGAAGAAGUAGAUUUGUUUCUGCGAAACCUAUAAUAGUAGGCAAUUUAAGUAACAUUAUAGCAGGUACAGAAUUUAAUCUCAGACCAGAUGUACAUAUUUCAUAUUCAUUAGGAUAUGAAAAUACAUUGUUCGCUGGUACAUAUCGGGGGGCCGUAGAAAGCUUUAUCGGUGAGUAUGUAGACUCGGAAUGGCUUAUAUGGAUCUUGAAUGAUCAGACAUAGAAUGAUAAGGUUGAAUGCAGCCUUUUUGUAGAAGUGAACCUUCUGCUAUAAACCAUCAAAUUGCGGGAAAGCCCUAAAGCAAUCUUAACUAACCAAGUAUAGUAAUAUAUCUUGGGGCGCAGGUAAUGACUCGCGAUAUAGUAAAAUCAAGAUUGAUUUACAGUUGUAAAAUGGGUAAUCUGCAGCCAAGUACCAAGUAUAAAUUAUUUGGUAUGCAGUUCAUCGACUAAAUGUUGGUUGGCUAUAAAAAUUAUAGCUUAAGAUAUAGUCAAGCCUCAUUCGAAAGAAUGCAAUGGCAAUAAAGUAAUUUUAAUUUUGGUGUUCAAUAUAUUGCAGAUAACCAAUUAUAUAAUAGUAUCAUUACAGCUCACGCUAUCUUAAUGAUAUUUUUUAUGUGCGAUAUCGCUUAAACUAAUAACCCUCUUUAAUAAAUAAAAAAUAUAAAAUCAAGAAAACGAAAAUUAAAAUUACUUUAGUUUCAGUAUAAAAAGAGUUUACAUCGCUCUUUGGCUAAAUAAAUUAGCAAGCUCGUCUCUUUGGACAUUAGUCCUGGGCCUCGUUAGGCCAUAAUUACCUGAAACCUGGUUCUGAUCAGAACUAGUUGUCUAAAUGGAUAGUCCCUGUUGAUGAUUGAUUACUACUAAUCAAAUAUAUCACAAACUAUUUAGGGAGAAGUACCUUUUAGUUUAACUAUAUACAUUAUAUAUGUUAAAUAAAAAGGUAGAUUUGUGUAUGUCAAAAGGGAAACAGCCCAGAACAAAAGUUAAGGUUCCAAAAUUAUUGUUCAGUGAAAAACAAGAAGGUUUUUUAUUGAGUCGACAAGGAGAUGGGCUUAGAAGCAGCCAUAAUUUGAAGAACUCGUAACAGAGCGCUUGUUAAAUCUUUAAAGGCAUCGACAAUUUAACGGAUCUAAACAAUAUACCGAAACUUUGUCCUCAUUUAACACUAUAUACUUUAUUUAAUAUAGGAUUUUUAACACUACCUUCGAUACUUUUUUUAUUACUUAUCCAGGCUUCGCAGACUUAAAAUCUGCGGAGGCCAUUAGGGUCUGGACCGAAAGGUUAAAUUAAAAUAAUAAAAAAAUUACAGAGCCAUAACGCAUGCAGAAUUUGCAGCCAGAAGUGGUGGAUCGAUGGGUCUAAAUUUUUUGAAUAAUAUAGGGUUAAUGCAGGGGUAGCAGAACGUUGGGUUAUAUUAGAUUUUGAUUUUUUUAAAUCAUAAUAAUAAUAAACUCAAUUGAUAAUGGUGACAUGAGUAACGAAAAGAUCUAAUAUUAUUGGGGAGUAAGUUCCGACAAACUAAAAAGAUGAGGAAAAGAAACUAUAUUCAGAACUCGCCUAAAGCUUAAGGUUACCAGUCAAACGGCCUCUAAGUUUAUAACCUGAAGGUUAAUACGAUGAGAUAAUUACUAAAAACAACACUUUGUCUAUGAUUGUUAAGUGUAAAGUGUGCUGGAAAAAAGUAAUUCCUAUUUUUGUCCAGGAACCUUAAAUAAAAGUAAGGGUAACUGGUUUCUUCAAUAAACUAAGUAGAUGAGAAGAUUGUACGAUUCUUAAUAAACUAAAUAGAUGAGAGGAUCGGAAAUAGAGCAGAUAGAUACCGUACCUGGAGACUACCACACAAGGAAGCUAGUAGAGAAUACGAAGGCGUAAGAGAUAACAAUCAUAAAGUUGGGGUUAGGCUCCCACAUUGUGAUAAAGAGCCAAAUUCCGGGGAAACCCUAAAACUCUAAUAACCAAGGUAGUAGAGGAAACUUUACUACUGGCCUGAUUAAUGGUUCAGGGUAUGGUAAAAUCAUUAGAAAUUCUAGUAAUAGAUAAGGGUUAUCGCGGAUCUAAAUCAGUAGUAAUGAGACUAGUGUUAUUCAUCUUAACUAGUGAUUACUCUACUGUAAAAGAGCAACGAGUAGACGGUUCUUCAAUAUUUGAUGUAUUGUAAGGUGUACUCUAGUCGCCAGGGAAACCUGGUUUUUAACAUUUUAUAAAAGUACAAGGUAUGCAGCUAUAUAGGAUUUUCUAUGUGCAAUAAACACUACCACCGCAGGUGUUCUAAUUUUAGUUCAGACGGCGAAUUGUCACGCAAUUAAGUAAUGCAAGCUGGGUUAGCGUCCCAUUGUUAUUGCUCCGAGGGACGAAUUAGUCAUAACCUGUUGGUUUGGGAGUCUUUAAAGUUAAACCUUAGAUAAUAAAUAUGAAAUUAAAAAAAAUUAUACUUAUUUAUUGUCCGCCCCUAAACAUGAUAGAUUCACAAGAUCUACUCCGACUUAUGUGUCCGUACCUUACUCAUCAAGUUAAAAGUAGGAAUGAAGGAAGUAAGUGAGGGAUACAGUGAGAGAUAAAAGGCCUUUCGUUGUAUCUGCGUUUAAUUGAACCUAAACAUGGUCCAAAGGGUAAUGUAGUGAAUUACACUACACGGUCUGUAAAAAGAAUAAUUUUAUUAAUGGAGUUACCUAUUAUCUUGGCUCCCACUUAGUGACUCAAUGAAUUAAAAAAAUAAAGCUACAAAAAUGUACAACUCAAAUUUAAUUAGUCCCGGUUUUAUUUCCGGUUUUAUAGACGCAGAGGGCUGUUUUCAUGUUUCUAUUGUUGACCAUAAAAAUCUAAAAAUUGGUCAAAGUGUAAGAGUAAUUUUUCAAAUUUCUUUGCACGAAAAAGAUAAAGCUCUUUCCCCACGCUACGCAGGGGAAACCCUUAGGGUUUCCCUGACGGGAAACCCCGCAGGGGUUUAGAUUUAAUAAAAGAUUAUUUUAGUGUAGGUAAGGUUAUUGCACGUAAAGAUGGUGUGUAUUAUUACCAAGUUACCCAAAUUAAAGAUUUAUUAUUAAUUUUAGAUCAUUUAUUAAAGUAUCCUUUAAUAACACAAAAACGAACAGAUUGUGAAUUAUUUAAACAAGUUGUUGACUUAAUGAUAGAGCAAAAACAUUUAACUAAAGAAGGAUUAGCUGAAAUAGUUAAUAUUAAAGCAGCUAUGAAUUUUGGAGUAUUAUCUAAUAAUUUAGUUUCUAAAUUUAUUGACAUAAAACCUGUCAAAAGGAUUGAGGUAAAAAAUAUAGAAAUUCUUGACCCAUGUUGGGUAAGUGGAUUUGUAGAGGGUGAAGGUUGUUUCACCGUGAAUAUUUACAAAAGAAAAGAUAGUGUGUUAGGUGAAGGAGUUAAGUUAGUAUUUAAAGUAACUCAAGAUAAAAGAAACAAGGAAGUACUUGAGUUAUUUUCAAGUAUUUUUGGUUGUGGUAAAGUUUAUAAUCAAUCUUCUAAAGGUGGAGUACUAGAUUAUAUGGUAACAGGUCUUGGAGAUAUUACUGAAAAAGUAAUACCAUUUUUUAUGGCUCAUCCCUUAAAAGGAGCAAAGUUAAAAGAAUUCCAAGACUGAUGUGAAGUAGCAGAAUUAAUGCAAAAUAAGGCGCAUCUUACUAAAGAUGGUUUAGAAAAAAUAAGAUCAAUCAAAUUAGGUAUGAAUUUCAAGCGUAUUUAGGUUUUUUUAAUGGCGGCGUUUGCUAGGCAUGUGUAGCCUAACAACAAAAUUAUAAAAUGUUAAAAUAAAAGUUUCCACAUUAGCCUUGUCCUGCGUUUUAAACAACGUAAGUAGGAUAUAAUUUGUGGUCGAAAGGAACUCGGCAAAUUGAUACCAAAACUUCGGGAAAAGGUAGGCUCAUUAGUCUUGAUUAAUACAAGUAAAAAGGAAGAAGCAUAAAAUGAUGUUGUACGACUGUUUAAUUAAAACACAGCACUCUGCAAAAAGAUGAUAAAUCUAAGUACUGAGUGUGAUACCUGCCCGGUGCCGGCUGGUUAACGGAAAUAACUAAACUGUCGUAGGUUUGGUGUAGAAGGAAACCCCGGCUAAUGGCGGCCUUAUAACUGAGGGUCAGGCUUUCAAUAAAUUAGGGCCCUCAUUAAAUUUAGCUAUAUGCUGGAACAAAUUUUUUAAUUACACUAUAUUAUUUUGCUUAGAAGAGCUAGCUAUAGUACUAUACUUUAGCUUUAUUGCAAAUUAUUCCAUUCUUUUUUUUUUUUUUCCAGUAACAAUUGCUAGCUUAUGGUUUAACGUUUUAACGGACUAACAAUUAAAUUUUGAAUUUUCAGUGUGUAUAGUACACAAUAGAGUUUACAUUGUAGAAGUUCAUUGCCGUGCCAAUUUUUCUACGCUAGUUCAUUGGUUUAACGAUCUCUAUUUUUAAAAUAAUAUAAGUAUUUAUAAAUAGAAAAUGAAAAUAUUAAAUAUAAGAACACUAAAGAUACAACCUUUAUUAAAUUUAGUCCGGGGUUGUAUUACAAAAAAUGGAUUAGUUAGCAAUAAAUUUGGCGGUACUUUCGCUAGCUUACACGGUAAAAGUUUACAUACCAGUUCACCCCUUUUAUCAGAGGGGUCAAUUGGUCUAACGGUGUCGGCUAAUAAUACAGGUAAUUUAGAAUUCAAUCAGCAGGAAAGAUUAGAAAAGUUAGUUCAGGAUGAGAACUACAAAUAUUGAUUAGGAGGUUUUGUGGAGGGAGAAGGAGCUUUAGUAAUAUCUAUAGUGAAGAAUACUGAGUUAACAAAUAGAGUUGCCUUACAACCUGAGUUUAAUGUUGUACAACAUACAAAUGGUAUGGAAAUACUUUAUUCGUUCAAGAUCCUUUUUGGGAAUAAAGGAACAGUAACCAAAAAAUCCGGAUCCGCUAAUGUUUUAGUUUAUUCUUUGAAAGGUACUAAAAAUUUGAAAAAAUAUGUGUUACCUUUCUUUGCUAAAUACGUUGCAGUAUAUUCAAGUAAAUAUAAAUCUGAAAUUUUUGAUACUUUCAGCUAUGUUAUUAAUAAAUUAGAUGAGAAUCAUCGUAAAGCAACUAGCAAAGAAGACCUUAUAGAAUUAAUUAAAUUGGUUUAUACUUAUAAUCCUGAAGGUAAGGGAAAACAAAGAAAAAGAACAUUAGAGGAAAUCUUGGAUUAUAUAAAUGAUCCUAACCAAUAAGUAAGGAACCACUAACUUACUCAUUAAUAGAGCUUAAACUUUUCUAAAAUCCUCAGAGACCAUACGCUAAACAAUCUAAAUAGAUUGAUGAUUUGGUCCAGCGGGCACUUGUUACUUUUUAAGAUGGUAACAAGGGAUAGUGAUAUCUUGCCCGUUGCCUAAGGUAGCGGAAUACCUUGGCCGUUAAAUGCGGUCUUUGCAUGACUACAAAUUCACCAUAUUUAUUAUUAUUUUAAGUUAAUUAAAUGGUUUGUAGCCAAAAUAUUAAAAAGAAUCAUGAAAAUAAAAAACAAUAAAAAACAUAUAAUAUCGAAUGCCGUCAGUUUAAGACGAGAAUGUGGGAUUUACCUUUCUCACAUAUACCCAAGUAUAUGAAAAAAUAAUUUUCUUACUUCGGUAAAUUUAAAGGUUAAUACUAAGGAUUGACCUUUAAUUUAUAACAAAAAAAGUGAAAAUUUAGGUAAUUCACUUAGUCCAUAUCAACUAGCUAUGAAAUAUUUAAAAAGCGUUAAUGCUAUUACUGCUUUGGAAGUAAACAAUGUUUUAGCUUUUUCGGGUAUUAGUAUUACACAAAAUCUUUUAGAUAAUAUUUUAAAUAGACCUAGAUUAGUUUUUCAAAAUUUGAGUCUAUGUACUUUAAAUUCAUCUGAAUUUUUAGAACAAGUAGGAACUAUAAGAAAGGAGAAAUGUCCUGCAGGGGUUUACAUAUGAACUCAUUUAUCUACUGGAGAUAAAUAUGUAGGAUCUAGUUCUUCUUUAGCUCGUAGAUUAAUAGGUUAUUUCAAAAAUAGUCACGCUGAUGUAGGAAAAUUAAUACCUUUAAUUAAAAGUGAAGGUGUGGGUGCUUUUAAUUUAGAAGUUAUACCAUUAAUAACGGAUUAUAAGGCUAAACAAGAAUUAAGUAUUGAGCAAUAUUUCCUGCUACACUCUGAAUAUAAUUUGAAUAGGUUAAGAGUCGUAAAUAAUAUUUCUGGAUCUAGAUCUAAAUCUUUAUUUAUGUAUACUAAAGAUUUUACUAAAUUAAUGUUCUCUUCAAGUACUCAAGAAGAUUUCAUAUUUAAGUUUAGAAUUCAUCACACUAUUUUUACCCAAAGUAUAAUGACUGGUUCAAUAUAUUUAGGGAAAGGGAAGUAUAUAUUCACCGAUCAACCGGUUGAAGGUGCUGAGGAAAGUAAUCUGUCCGAAUCGGAAUUACUCGCUAUUUUAGAGGAGGAUAGGUUAAUAGUUAAACAAGACGAAGAAAAUAGAGUAGGUAGAAAAGUCACCAUAAGAUCCAUAAAAGAUGGAAAUUUCGUUCAAAUUUUUGAUAGUAUUAGCGAUUGUAUUGCAUUUUUAAAUUCUACUACUCAUUUAUUAGAUUCAGAGAAAGGAAGUACAGCAGGUAAGUUUUCUAAAACAACUUUAUACCGUUAUAUAAAAUCAGGAAAACCUUAUAAUGGUUUUAUCUGUCAAUGGACUGACGACCAAACAUCUCAUAUUAAAGAUAAAAGUAUAGGUGUAAAGGUAUUACAUAUUCCGACAGGAACUGUAAAUGAAUAUCUUACUAUUCGAAAAGCUGCUUUAGCGUUUGAUCCUGUUACUACCGGUCAAACAAUAAAAGCUUAUAUCCCCUUCGGUCUCGCGGAGACCUGGGUAGCCCCAUAAUUUAUUGAGGGGCUAGAAAAUAAAAAAUUAUUCAGAGGAGAAUAUAGAAUAAGUUAUUUAAGUAAGUAACGAAUUCUAAUUAGGUAUAUAGACGAGCUUACGCCUCCAUUAUAUUCGUUGUUUGAGUGUUCGCUAUUUGUAGCAGUAUUUUUCAGGUCUCUGCUUUUGUUCGAUUAGUGGCUAGUGUUUGGCUAAAAUAAACUUAAAAUAAAAAAUAAAUUAAUAGAUUGACAUUAAGGUCGUUGAUCUAAAUUGUGCAAAUAAAAAAGAAGCAAACUCCGGGAAUAUCCCUAAAGCUCUUUUUACCAAGUUUAAGUUUAAAAGAUUUUAAAUGGCUUAAGUAAUUAUUAAGGUAUGGUAAUAAUAAAGGAGAUGAUACGAAAGAAAAUGGGUUAUCGCGGAUCUAAGUCACCUCUGGUCUUUGAUUAUGUGUAAAAGAGCAACGAGCAGAUGCUUCUUCAAUAUUUUUAUUAAUAUUGUAAGGUGUGCUCUAGUCACCGGUAAAUUGGCGCUUAACCGAAUUUAGUAAGUUAAGCUUAAAGUAUAUACACAAUAGCCUAACCUAAUGUUUUAUUUAGAGCAUGCGCUUUAAUAAAACUAUGGUUAAAUUUGUGUAACGGAAUGGUGUAACGAUACAACAGCUGUCUCUAUGAUUGACUCUGUGAAAUUGGAAUAACUGUGCAGAUACAGUUUACCUCUAGUUAGACGAGAGUGCGACUAGUAAAGUGCUUGAUAGCAAUGUGGCGAAAACCCACCAAAUAACCCGUUAUUUGAACUCAUACGGCAUGCAUUCGAAGUAAUUCUUUUGUGUGAAGCCCGUUAAAUAACAAUCAUAAGAUUGUCCAACCUUUCUCUAUUUUAUGUUUAAAGUAUAAGAUGGUAGCUAGGCUGGUGAGUUAAAUUACUAAGGAUAGUAAAUACGAAUCCACGUUUGAAGCGUAAAACUAGAUAUUUAUGACGCAAGCACAGCUUCGCUAUUAAAUAUAUUUAUUGAUUGUAGAAAAGAGUUCUCGUUCUUUUCUUUAUGGGUCUAAUAUCAAUAUACGUAUAGUGGGAUCCUAAGGUAAUUAUUAAGGUGUUAUCAAGUAAACUAGGUAAGCCCAAUGUUACCCAUCGUGAUUGAUCUUUUAUUUUGAGGUUUCAAUUUGAUGGAAGUUUAGUCGUGAGGCUAAAUAUAUAACAGUGGGUAAAGGAUGCUCUAAAAAGCGAACGCUUUGUGGUAAUAACAAGGAUAGGAUCGAUAAAUGAUCUAAUUCGAAAGAAUGCAGACUUAGAGCAGGCGUUAAUAAUAAAUAAUCAUAAGAUAUACAUAUGUUUAAAACAAGCACGGACGAGCUUGUGCUGUCGAGUGGUGUCGUAAUAAGUGCAGGUAGCAUGAAUUAAUAUUCCCUUUUUUAUCUGUAUAUUUAUAAUAUAUUUAUUAAAGAAAUUUGAAGAAAGCGUAAGGUGUACCGCCUACCCUUGCGAGGGGUAGAGGCAUACUAGUAAUAAAUUAUUUGAGACGUAAUUUAUUGCUAUAAUAUCUGAUUUAAAUUAGUAUUUAAGUAAGAUACGUGUGGAAAACUGCCAUGAAAAAGAUUAGUAACCAACCUUUUAUUUGUUGUCAUGUUAUAAACUAACAGCGAAUGUAACUAUAACCACUGUAUGUUGAAAGGUGGAAACACUGGGGAUACGUUUAACUUGUAGGAAGGAAAUAAAGUAGUGCAAUGCGAUGAGUAGUUGGAGAUCUUAAUAAAUAUAUUAGGUUUGCAAUAAAAUAUAAAAUAAAAGCCAUGAAAAAAUUUAAUAAAAAUAUAUUAUUUACUAAUCAACCCAAGGUUUUGAACCUUAAUGUCUCAACAUUAACUAUAAGUAGAAUAUUGCUUACUAAGCCUAAAGUACCGCUAUUAGUAUUAGGGCUCUUUAGGUGCCGUAAUUAUUCUACAACUGUUUCUUUGGGAACUCACGUUUCCAAGGAAGCUUCUGAGGUACUAAAAAUUCAAAGUAACUCAGUGAUUGAAUUCGAUUUUAGAUCAGAUAUACAUAUUAACCUAACUCCUUGAUGAGUUACGGGUAUAAUCGAUUCAGAAGGAAAUUUUUCUAUUGUAACUCAAAAAACAUCAAAAGGAUAUAAAAUUUCUUUAACUUUAAAGGUAACACAAAAAGAACAUUCUAAAGGAAUUCUUUUAGCUUUACAAAAAUACUUUGGUUGCGGAAAUAUAUAUCUUGAUAAUAAAAAAGAAAAUGCGUAUAAAUUUAGUGUAAAUAAAGUAGAUGAUAUAUUAUACAAAAUUAUACCACAUUUAGACAAAUAUCCUCUAGUUACAUCUAAAAAUUUGGACUAUGCUGAUUUUAGAAGAGUAGCCUUACUUAUGAAAGAUAAGUUACAUUUAAACUCAGAAGUACAAAAUGAGAUAUUAUUAAUUAAAAAUAAUAUGAAUAGUUUACGUACUUUUGAGGAAAGAUGAAACUAUUUCCAAAGUAUAGGACCAAUUAGAUUAACUAAUGAGUGAGUUCAAGCAUUUAUAGACGGUGAAGGUUGCUUUCAGUUUGGUAUUUUAAAUACGGUUAAUAGAGGAAAGCCUUAUACAGCUUUGGCUCAUACGUUAGAAGUAGCACAAAGUAAUCAUGAUGUAUGAGUGUUAGAUGCUUUAAUUCAAUUUUUUGGUUGUGGUUAUAUUAAACCUAAAUAUAAUAUUAAAAAUAUUAAUGAAGCAAAAAAUUCACGAAUUGUGAAUAGAUUUGUUAUUAACCAGCAUGCAGUUGUUACGGAAUUUUUUGAUAAGUAUCCUUUAUUUACACGUAAACGUUUGGAUUAUUUAGAUUGAAAGAAGUUAAUUAAUCUAAAGGCUGAAAGAGCUCAAGAUACUCCUGAAGGUAUACAAAAAAUGAAGGAUAUAAAGGUAUCUAUGAAUAAGGGUAGAAAAGAAUAAUAAUUCUUAUUUAUACUCUUAAUUAUAGAAAUGAUUUUUAUUUGCCUUAGCUGCAACAGGAGCUUGCUGAUCCCCAUAAGUAUGUUAAGGGGGCAGAAAUAUAUGUAUAAAUUAUGAUAAUUAAGAAAAUUUUAAUGCUCGAGCCGUAUGCGAUGAAAGUUGCACGUACGGUUCCACGAGGGGGAAGUUUUAGUAAUAAAAUGACCUAUCUCUACAGACCCUAUGCAGCUUUACUGUUACUAAUUAUUGAGUAUAAUAACAGCAAAUUUGAGAAGAUAAGGUAAUCGAUAGUAUAAAAGUGAAAUACCUUUAUUUGCUUAUUGUAUUAUUAUGGAAUAUUAUGUAUAUUGUCUAAUGAUAUAAGUUAAAUACCUUAUAUUGUUGUCAGUUAAAUGUAAAAGGAUCUUAAGUUAUCUCUUCAAGCGUUUUAGAAAGAAGGUUUAGGUGAAAUUAUGUUUAGCUUGACGGUUUAUAUAUUAUAAACAUCAGACUCUAUGAUUUAUGAGAAGGGAUAAAAGAAGGGGAACGUUACUUAGAUGACUAAGAGAACGAAAGAGAUAAACCCAACCCGGAAAAAAUACUUAGAAUUGCUAAGAGAAGUUCUUAUAAAAAAGAGAGAACAUUUGCUAGGAGACAGUUUUUUAAUUUUUAAGCUGUGUUGGUUAUAAUCCAACUCUAAAGUGAUAGUAUUGGCCCCUGUAUAGGGGUAGGACUAAAUUAAUUAUACUUAAAAUAUAUAGUCUUCCAUAGAUCUUCCCCUGCGUAGCGUGGGGAGAUCCCCGUGAGGGGGAUCUAAUUUUAUUUAGCAUCAAAACUUGUAUAAGAGAGAAUCCUUCUAUUUUAAUUUUACCUUUUUAUUAAGCUCAAAGGUUAUAGUCCCUACAGACUCAUUUUCAUAAGGGCAGGUGAGGUAAUUUUUUUGAUUGGCAGGUCAAGUUGGUUUAGCAUAUACUAUAAAAUUAAACUGGUAUAACGAAAGUAUAAUUUAUAUAUAAGGUUAUAUGGUUUACAAUGUAAUAAAUAAAACUUAGAUAGUGAACUAUAAUAUUUCUAAAUCGCAUUUUAAAUAAUUAAAUUAUAAAAAAAAAAUAUAAAUGUUAACUAAAAUUACAAAUUUUCAGGGCGCAAGCUCUAGUUUUUUAAUAUCCAGUAUGCUACGCACAUCUUGCUGUCAGUUUUCAAGAAGUAAUCAUAUAGAUGCGAUAGAUCAAAAUGUUGUUUUUUGGAAUAAUAAUACAGAUAAAUUCUUUCAAUGGUUUGUAGGAUUUUCAGAGGCUGAGUCUUGCUUUAAAAUAAAACCUAAAAACCGAAAUGGUAAAUUACAUAGUUUUUAUUUUGAAUUUGAAAUCCAUCUUCAUAUAGAUGAUAUCAAGCUUUUAAGAUUCAUAUGUGAUACUUUAGGUGUAGGUAAUGUUUAUGCAAGAGAAAAAAGUAAUUCUUGUAGUUUUAUAGUAGGUAAUGAAGAAGGUCUUCGUACUUUAAUUAAUAUUUUUGAUCGUUAUACUUUUAACGGUAUUAAGUUAUUAGACUAUAUAGACUUCAAAGAAGCUUUUUUAAUUUAUUUUAAUCGUAGCGGUACAUUGGAUGAUAAUUUAAUUAGCAGUAUUCUUAAACUUAAACAAGGUAUGAAUAAAGGUCGUGUUGAUUUUAGUUUGCCUAAGGAUCAUAAGAUAAACAUUACCAAAUAUUGACUACUUGGAUUGAUUGAAGGUGAAGGUUCAUUUAGUAUAGCUAAAAGUAAAUUAAGACCUAAUUUUCAAAUAUUGUUUACUGUAGCUCAGAAACCUCUUUUAGUGGAAAUAAGAAAAUAUCUUAUAAGUAAUUUAGGUUUUGAUAGAUUUUCAUUAUGGAAAUUAAAUAAUUCCUCUCUUAUUGGAAUUUUUGAGAUGAAAGCUAAGGGUAAUUCUAAGCCAACAGUAAGUUUAGAAAUUCGUAAUGUCCCUCUAUUACGUAAUUACAUUCUUCCUUUCUUAAAAAGUAUGCCUUUCAUAUCUAAAAAAAGACAUGACUUUAUGGAUUUUUUUCUUAUAUGUAAUGUAUUAUACGUAGGAGGGCAUCUGCAUGAUAAUAAAAUAAAGGAUUUAAUCUUAAAGGUUUCGUCUGGUAUGAAUGACUUUAGAUUAUCUACCUAUAAAGCAAGUUCUAAGGAGACGGCUUUAACUUAUGAUGAGCUUACUAUUUUAAAAAAUUUAGGUAAUUCGGCUAUUCAGCCAAAUUUAUCUUUAGACCUUGAUAUAUUAGAGGAUAAUUCUUCUUUGGAUAUGAGAGGUAUUUUUAAUAAUAGUGUAGUUUAUCUUAUUAUUAAGCCAAAUGCUAAAGAACUAGUUGUAGGUAGUUUAAAAGAAACUUCGGAUAUAUUAGGUAUAAAUAGUGAUGUUUUAAGUAAACUAUUCAAAUCUCUUCCUGCUAACUCAAAUGGUGUGGAAAUUAACAGAUAUUUUGUAAGGAGAGUAAAAGUCUUUUGUGAACGUUAGCUUACAAAAGACUAAUGUGUCGAUUAAGAUUAAAUAAAGUAUAAUUAAUUAUGGUUUACAGUGCUAUUUUAAGGGAAUUAGACAAAGUUACAACUGAAUAAUUCUUAGUUCGCUUUAGAAAAAUUAGGUGAAAACGGUUAAAGAACAAAACCUAGUUCAAGACCGUCGGCAGUUGUAAAUGUCGCUACAGACUGGUUCGCCAGGGUUAGGCUGAAAUGUCUGUCCAAAUGUACAGUCGGACGAGAUACGAGAGUUAGUUAUAGGCGGCUUCGCCGUAGCACAAAAAAUUGGUGCUAGCUCUCGCAAGGAGAUAGGUAAUAUUAAAGUUUUAGUUGGAUCAGGUAGCAUUCUUGUAACUUGGAGGUUAUGGCUAUCUUAAUUUUAUUUAACAACUUUAAUGGCCCUUUAAGCAAAUGAAGGGUUUAUAUGCUCCUUUCCCUUAUCCCUGCCGCAAGCUCUGGGGGGGAUAAUGGAAGAUAGAUGAAACAAGUAAAUAUGUUUUAUUUGUCUACAUCUCGUUGUUAUGCGGGGCACAGACCCCAUAAAGAGUAGAUGGGAGUGUCUAAGGAUUGUGAUGUUGGUUGCGAAAAAUCGUGUUUUAGUUUUUUAAUCACGAAUCUCGACGCAAGUAUACUUCGUAGGGAUACGCAGCUAUUAAUUUUGGGUAUAUUUUUUUACCUAAGGCGGGAAGUAACCCCUGUUACCUUGUCUUAUAAAGCUAAACUCUAGCUUUAAGGGGUAAAAAAAAUAAUUUUUGUUUGCAUGUAUUAUAUAACUAAGUUGUAUGUAAUCGUUUGCUAGUACGACACGGAAAGGCGUACAUAUUAUUGAAAGGGUAAGAUUUUAGCUAUAGUGAAAUUAGCUUUAGUAAAAAAAAAAGUACUUUAAUAAUGAUAUUGCUGCUUACCUGUCUGCGUCUAGGGCAAUGCCCUAGGACAAGGGUAGGACAACGCUGGCAUUUGGAGUAACAUAGUGCUUUUUCUAGUUAUUAAUUAAUACUUAGCAGUGUUUUUAAUAAUAAUGUUAACUAUUUACCAAGUUUAACGGCUUAAUCUUGCUUUACUGUUUGAUUCACAACAAAUCUUACAGUCGCGUAAGCGGGGCAUAGGAUCACAAGACACAUUAAGGAAAGGUCUUGGAUUAUUGGAAAAGCUACGCUAGGGAUGUUUGUCCUUUAAUUUAUUUUUUUGCUUAAUUAGAAUAAUAGUGAAUAUAUAUAUAUAUAGCUAUUUAUACGAGCCUUCACCCUAUAUUUAAGUUAUAUUAUUACUUAAUCUUCUCUUAUUAUCUUACUGCUGUGUAGCGUGCGUGGGGGAUAGUAGUUUCAUCGCGAUACCAACCGCUUGAGAUUUUUAGGGGAAUGGUCACCUAGCUACCUAAAUAAAUUAUGUGGCUUAUCCAUAAUUUAUUCCGGACGACUCUUUUAUAUUUUUUUUUCACUGUUUUGUACUGAUACUGGUGUGCCUCGUUAGUAAAAAAAAAUAUAAAACUUCCUGAAGGUGUUGGUGUAAAUAGAAAGGUAUAAUAAGCAGGAAGAUAGGUAAGGUAAAAAAAAUUGUAAGCAAGAAAAUUAUUAAUAAUUUAAUUGGGUUAAUUUCAAAAAUUACUUCUCAUCAAGAUUGGCUACUAAUACGGAAGUAUACGAUCCUUAAGGGAUUUUUUUUAGGGUCCUCAGAGAUAGAUACUCGCUCUUAAGGGAGUGAUAAUUUAUACUUUUAUAUAAGUGUUCUUACACUUUAUAAAAGCCAAUCUUAGAUACACGUAAAUUUGAAGCGAAAUUUAUCUUAUCUAGUAAAAAUUAAGAUAAAAACGUUCAACGACUAAUAGGUGAGUAAAACUAACAAUAAUUCUUAUCUAGAAACCCAGCACUUUUUAUUAUAUAUAAUUAAAAAUAAGAAAAUUUACUCUUGAAAACCAACUUUUUUGGCGCAGUAGUUUAUUUAGGCUAGUAAGAAGAAUACGUGCGACUACUUGAUAUGGCUAAAUUAGCCUGCGAUGCACACUUAGUAUGCAGCUGUGGGCAGGAGUUAGCAUAUAUUUUAUUACCCUUUCAUAACUAUGUUCGGCAACUUCGGUCGCAAGCAUGCAUACUUCGGUGAGCAGCCUAAUUAAUUAUGAAGGAGGGGUGGAGUAGUCUAUCAUGCAUACUUCGUGAGCAGCCUAAUUAAUUAGGGGAUGGCUUCGCAUAACAAGCCCGCCCUCUCAUGAUAAAGAUAAAUUUCUUAACAAAAUUAAUAAAAAUUAUUACUAUAGUGAAGAAUAAAAUGAAAAAAAAUCAAAAUUUAAUCAAAAAAGCUUCUACGCAGUCCAAUUUAAUUAAUUCUUCGAGAGGGGUCAAAGAAUCUACGAUAAAAGAUAUGAUUAUUCCAAAUAUUUUUAAGCAAAACGUGAAAAAUAAUUUGAAAUUGAGACCCUUUAAUGAAAUAAUAAGUGAUGUAGGGGAUAUACAAUAUUUUCCUGCAUGAGCAAAAGAGUGAAGAAAUAGUGUUUAUCAUUAUAAUAGUAAUUUAAUAAAAAAUUUUCCUAUAUACGAUAUCAAUAUUGUUAAAAUAAUAAAAGUUUAUUUUGAUACAUAUUUUAAUCAUAAAUUUCUUAAAUACAAACAUAUUCUUACUAGGAAAAGACGUUUAUCAUUUAAUAAAAUUUUUUUUGCUAGACCGGAAAUUAAACAUACUAAUUCUAAGGCUAUUAUAACUCUCUAUACUUUUAAUAGAGAAAAGGUUGCUUUAUUAAAAAAAAUCAAAAUUUUAAGUAAUUUAACUAAACAGUUACUUUGUUUACUUAAAACACGCGGUUAUUUUAUUUUUAGAAAAAAAAAAAUAUUCAAAAGCAAAACCCGUAAGAAUGGUCAAAGAAAAUUAGAAUUAAGAUGAGGAAAUGUACGUGUGUAUUGCAUGGGAUUUUUAAAAAAAAUAGAAAAAAUUUUUUUUAAAUUUAAUAUGAUAUCCCUCAUAAUGAAAGAUGGAAAAGUACUUAAAGAUUAUUAUGCUUAUUUCUCUGCAUUAAAAACAAGUAAAAUUAAGGCGAAUAAAGAAACAAAUAAAUGGGUAAAAAUUUUACUUAAAAGAGAAUUUCGUCUUCUUCGAAAAUAUAAAUUUAAACUAAAUCUUAAUAAGUAUAAAUUUGAAGAAAAAUUUUUAUAUAGAUUAAGUAAUGUUAUAAGCAAAAUUUAUAAUAAACAAAUAGAAUUUAAUAUUGUGAAUUUGAAAAAUAUAGUAUUUAAUACUGAUUUGUUCACUGAAAUAUCUACAAAAAAAAUUAAAAAGAGAAAUACGAAAGUUCUAAAAAUAAUGAAUAUUAUGUUAAAUAAAGCUAAGUUACCUAGAGUAAAUAGAAUUCAUGAAAAAGGUAGAAUCGUUAAAAAAGUAAAUUUAAAUUUAGUUGAAAAUAAAUAUAGAACUCUUAAUCUGAAAGAUAUAUUAACUAGUAAACUUAAUUUAGAUAAAUUGUUAACUAAAUUAUAUACUAGUGUUGUUAAUGAUGAAUUCUUACCACGAGUUAAGGCCAAUUUGAAUAAUAUCGUAUUUAAUGGUAUUAAAUACAAGAAUAUGGCUGGGAUUAGAAUGGAAGUUAAAGGUAGAUUAACUCCGCGUUAUAGAGCGGAUCGUAGUGUUUAUAGAUUACGUUGGAAAGGAGGUUUAAAAAAUAUCGACUCUUCUUAUAAAGGAUUAUCUGUACGAAAAUAUAGAGGUCACAUUAACCCUAACGUUGGUUAUUCUAUUUUUUCAUCUAAACGAAGAGUUGGUGCUUUUGCUGUGAAAGGAUGGAUGAGUGGUAAGAGUUAUUCUACAGUGUCUAAUAAUAGAAUGGAUUUAACUGCUUCUUAAAACCCUUGAGUUGUGACGGGGCUUGUAGAUGCAGAAGGAAGUUUUAAUAUUACUGUAGUUAAGAAUAAUAAUAGUAAGUUAGGUUGAGUAACUAAAUUACGUCUUGAAAUGUCUAUGUUAAAAAAAGAUAGAUCUACAUUAGAACAAUUAGUAAAUUAUUUUGGUGGAGGUGGUAUUCGUGAUUUGGAUGCUAACAAUCUUCGUUUUUACAUAGAAUCUUUAAAAGAUUUAACAGCAGUUAUAAACCAUUUUGACAAAUAUCCCCUGUUUACUAAAAAACAUGAGGAUUACUUACUUUUUAAAGAGGUAUUUGACCUGUUUAAAAAUAAAAAUCACUUAACUAUGGAAGGAUUAAGACAGGUUAUAGCAAUAAAAGCUUUGUUAAGAAAUAAGGGAUUAUCAGAUUCUUUAUUAGAAGCUUUUCCUGAUAUUACUCCUGCAAAUCUACCUAUUACGGAUACUACUUCUUUUAGAGGAGAUGAAAGUAUUCUUUUUCCUUGAUUAGCUGGCUUUACAUCUGGUGAUGGAAAUUUCUAUAUUAGUAUAGCAGAAGGGGCAAAGCGUGUGCAAAUACAAUUAGUUUUUUCAAUUACUCAACAUAUUCGUGAUCAAGCUUUGAUGAACAAUUUAAUAUCUUAUCUUGGAUGUGGAAACAUAAAACACUAUGAAAAAAAUUCUUGAUUACAAUUUAUUGUUACGAAAUUUUCGGAUAUAGAUGAAAAGAUAAUUCCGAUCUUUAGAGAAAACAAGAUAUUAGGUGAGAAAUCUAAAGAUUUUCAAGAUUGGUGUAGAGCAGCUGAAUUAAUGAAAAAUAAAGCACAUUUAACUCCUUCUGGUUUAGAUGAGAUACGUAAAUUAAAAUCUGGAAUGAAUAAAGGAAGGAUUGCAUAGUUAAUAAAGAAAGAUAGAAGCAAGCUCCUAAAUAUUAUUUAUUAGGGUCAGGAUGGCCGGUAAGUCUUAUUCUACUAUGGCUUCUAGUUAUAAUACGGUGAAAAAAUCUUUAAAUAAUUUGACUAGGAGAACGACUAUAUUCUAGAACUGUUACUGGGUUUGUUGAUGCUGAAGGUUGCUUUUUAAUUACCUUAGCUAAAAAUAAUCAAAGUAAAAGUGGUUGAGUGGUUAAAUUACGUUUUCAAAUUCAUUUAAAUAAAAAAGAUAUAGCUAUAUUAGAACAAAUAGUAAAUUUUUUUGGUGCGGGUAAAAUUUAUCAACCUAGUGAAAAUUCUAUUCAAUUACAUAUUGAAUCUAUAAAAGAAUUAGAACUUCCCUGCGUAGCGUGGGGAGUUCCCCCGAGCUUGCGUCGGGGGAGGGAACUAAUUAUAAAUCAUUUUUAUCAGUAUCCUCUUUUAUUGACUCAAAAAUAUAAGGAUUACUUACUAUUUAAACUUGCUUUCGACAUAGUUAAAAAUAAAAAUUAUUUAACUACAUAAGGUUUAGAUGAGAUAUAUAAAUUAAAAGCAGGCAGGAAUGAAUAAAGGAAGAAUUUUUUAAGGUAGCGCUUAUGAAAUAUGAGUGCACCAAAAAUAUAAAUAGGUUUUCAAGAAAGCAUUGUAGGCGUAAUAUAUAUAAUAAAAAGUGAAUACAUAGUCUGAACCAUUUUGUAAAAAAUGGAAAAUUAAGAUAACAAAUUGAACAGGCUAAUUUGCGCAAGAGUGUACAUAAUGAGUGCGCGGUUUGGCACCUCGAUGUCGGCUUAACUUCUCCUCUGGGAUGCAGGACCUCGGUAGGGUACGACUGUUCGUCGAUUAAAAAGUUACAUGAGCUGGGUUAAAUACGUCGUGAGACAGUAUGGUUUCUAUCUUCUAGAGGGAAUUAGAAUAGAAUAAGGAGUAACCUAGUACGAAAGGAAUGUGGGGAAUUAAGUUAUUCUGGGUAAUACCAGGGUACACUUUAUUAACCUAUGGUUUACCUGUUGUUUAUAUGCCCGAUAUUAAUUAAUGUAUAAGUGUUAGUACGUUUUAUACAGGGAUACUACUUUCACUCAGGUAGGUAAGUGAGUAUAGCAAUACCUGCUAUAUUACAAUAGUAUAGGCACGGCAGGAAAGCUAAGUUAGUCCAAGAUAAGCGCUGAAAGCAUAUAAGCGCGAGGCUUACCUUAAGAUAUUUCUAAAAUAUACGUAAUAUACUAUUACGAAGUAAACGAAAGUUUAUAUUUAUAGGCUUUAUUUGUAAGAAUCCGGAGAUUUUGAGGAAUAGAGUACUAAUUCAAUAAAUCACUAACAUAUGUUAUAUCAAUUUCAUUUUUUACCCUAAUUUUAUACGGAAUAAUGGUGUCAACCCUUCAAGUUUAGUUUAAUAAGUAGUUGUAAUUCGAAACAGAGCUUGUUUGCUCACGAAGACGAAGUAUGCCUACUAAAAAAUAAAAAAAAAUAUUAAACAAUUUGACUGGUGUUUAGUACGGCUGCUGUGUAAAUAUGCAUGCCGAAAAGAACCUUGUAAAGCAUACCUCUAGCGAGCGUGUGUGCACAUUUGUCUGUCUUUAUAUAAUAAAAUAAGAAACUGAUUGUUUAUUAAUUAAUAUAUAUAGUAAGGGACUACACAAAAUCCCUGCAAUCAGUCUACUACCUCAACACUUUCAAUAUUCUAUAUAUAAGAAGGAGCGUGGUGGUAGCUACGGCGGCGUGUUUACGACGAAGUCGCCGUGGAGAAGAAAGAAGAGUAAGAAAUUUACCCUGGAUAGGGUCGCACUUCCGAAAAGAUAUACGAAAGCGCUGCUUCGUUAACGUCAAGGUUAACAUUCCUAUUAAAAGUAGUGGGCUACAACCCCAUGAUCUUCUGUGGUAGUGGCUUAAAUCAGCAAAGCUAACGGUUAUAUUGUGAAUAAGCAGGCCAGUAUAUCCUAGUAGGAUUUGCGAUUAUAAGUUCUCUCGAUUUAAAUAAGUCUUGUCAAGAUAUGAUUCUAUCUUAUUCGGCGAACUUUAUUACGGAAUAAGACUGGUGUCUGGGUCACAAGUCUGGGCUUGAUUAGAAUAAUUACUCUAAUGACGGUACAGUGAGGACGAAAGCCCCUCAUGAAGUAAACAACGGUUUUAUGAAGAAUAAAAGAAUUCAAAGAAUAAGACAAAAUAGAAGAGUUAACUUGAAAAAGAACUUAUUUCUAUCGAGGAACGAAUGUUUAUAAAAUAUGUAAAGUUACUAUUUGUAAUUUUAACUGUAUAUAAUAUCGCCAAUAUAGAUUAAGUGGAAGUUUAAAAAAUUUAAUAAAUACCAAAAAUGAAAAUAAUAAUUAAUGCAGCCAGAAAAUAUAUUGGUAAUAACCAAUACAAAAAUAUGUUCUCUUUUAUUGAAGAUAGAGUUGUUUCGGGGGCAGCUUUCAAAAUUCUGCAAAAUAAGUUUAUUACGGCUGCGCCUAGUGUAAACAAACUAACCAAUCGACAAUAUUCUGAUCAUGCUAAUUUUAAGUUCUCUCCUUUAUUAAACACUGAAUUACAUCCUUGAUGAGUUACUGGUUUUUGUGAUGCGGAGAGUUGUUUUAAUAUAGCUAUAUUUAAAAGUACCACUUAUAAAGAAGGAUGGGGAGUAAAAGCCACAUUUCGAAUCGAUCUUCACAAGAAAGAUUUAGAUGUCUUGAAACUUAUUCAAGCUUAUUUUAAAUUAGAAAAUAAAGGAUCAGGGAAUGAUGAAGAGGUAAAUAGAAUAAUAAUCAUUGAAAAUAGAGUUGCUUUCGUAGUAUCUUCUAUUAAAGUAUUAAUUAAUAUUGUCGAUCAUUUUGAUAGAUAUCCACUUUUAACACAGAAGCGAAAGGAUUAUCUCACUUGAAGAAAAGUAGUACUUAUGUUAAGCCGAAAAGAACAUCUAUCUAAUGAGGGGUUAAAAACUAUUGUUAAUCUUAAGGAUUCAUUAAAUAUGGGGCUGUCAGAAGCAAUAAAGACAGCUUUUCAAUUAACUACUAAAGAAGGAAAUCCUUUAGGAACGUCUCUCGUGAGUGGUCUUAGCGAAGAAGUUUCUUUUAAUUCGCAAUGACUAGGUGGUUUUACGUCAGGUGAUGGUAGUUUUAUGGUUCAAUUAGAACCUAAUAAAAGUAAACUUAAGAAAUCUCCUAGAUUAGUCUUUUCACUAACUCAGCACUCACGAGAUGAGGAACUAAUGAAAAAGUUAAUUCAUUAUUUGGAUUGUGGUGGGGUAUCUAAAAACUCGAAAAAUUCGUCCGCGGUAAAAUUUAGAGUAACCAAAUUUAUUGAUAUUUGUGAAAAAAUAAUCCCACUCUUUUUAAGAGAAAAUCUAAUUGUGGGUAUAAAAUCUAAGGACUUUGCAGAUUGAUGUAAAGUGGCAGAAAUCAUGAAGUCCAAGGGACAUUUAACUCAAGAAGGAAUUGAUAAAAUUAUUCUUUUAAAGGGUAACAUGAAUAAAGCAAGAGUUAAUUAAGUUUACUUUGUUAAAAACUUUUUGUAUGCUUUUCAGAUCCCCCCGGCGCAAUAUCGGGGAUCUCCUCUAGCGGGUGGAUCUAUUUUUUAGGGCGCAAGCUCUCUUUGAGUAGGCAAUAGUCUAUUUGAUCUUUUGCUUUUUUUGUUUUUUCAUAGCUUGUUUGAUGCGGUAUAAUUUAGUUUUUAAGGAAAUAUCUUAAUUUAUAGGGGGCUAUUAUAAGACAGUAGGUAGCCCCUCGUCUAUCAUCUCAAAUUGUUCCUUAUCUUUUUAUCAAAGAUGGGCGCAGCCCUAAAAUAGCUAUGUAUAGAAUGAAAGGAAAAGGUACAAGUGGAGAGAGGAAGCACGAGGCUUACCUUAAGAUAUUUCUUAAAUAGACGUAAGAUAAUAUUACGAAUACAUAACCCUUUAUAUAGUUGGUUUUUGCUCAUUUAAAUUCUAAGCUGUAUGAGCAAAAGUAAAAGGGAGGAUUGUAGUAUAGGCUUUAUUUGUAAUAACCUGGAGGUUUUGAGGAAUAGAGUACUAAUUCUUUAAAUUACUACUAUAAAUUAUAUCUAUCAUAUAAUCUAUUGGGCCUGGUUAGCAUAUUUCUUUUACCUUUAAGAGUAAUAGGGAUAUGUGAUCAGCAAAAUAGCUUACUUAUUUAAUAUAGGUAAACACACAUACAAGACACCUAAAUCAGCUAGUCCUAAACCAUUCCACCCUAGGAUUUAGGUUUCUUUUUUUCCUACCCAUUACAGUAGAGGGGAGGCAAUGUAUUACUUGAUAAUAUAGAGCCAGAAGCUUUGUAUUUAUGAACAAUAUAGAUUAUUCUUUAUAAUAAUUAAUAAUUUAAGUUAUUAUUAGUAAUUUUAUCAAUAAGAUAUAUUUAUUAGUAAUUAAUUAUAGAUAAUUGAUUAAAGGUUAUUGAUAGUUAAUAGUCGGCGUAACAUACAAACCUUGAAUGUAGUGCUCAAGUUCCCAUAAGACUUAGAGUUAUACUUUUCACUUGCGGCCUAGGUAGGGGGCUAUAUUUGUAAAUAAAUUGAAAUUAAAUAUAAAAAAAAAUGGAAAAAAAAAUUAAUAAAGGUACAUUAGGGUUAUUAUUGAAUAGGUUUUUUAGUAGUAGCAGUAACUUUUUAAAUGAUUGUUUUACACACAAUAGGAUUAAAAGUUUAUAUACUUCAGAUAUAGAAAGUAUUUUGAAAAGCAACCUUUCUUUUUAUGAGAAUAAUCUUCCUUUGUUUUAUCAAUGAUUAUCAGGGUU